AUGGAGGAGCCGGACAUGGAUGUAGAGAAGGCGGCCAGACCCGAGUUCGUCCACCCCUGCUAUGCUAAAAUAAUACGGAUGGACGAGGUCACACAAGCCGUUGAAAACUUGAAAAAGGAAUGGAGCCAAGCAGUUGCACAGCUUGAGGAUGGACUGCAGUGCAGACUUGAUCUUCUGGCAGAGCAGCUACCCACUUUUGAAGAAGUUCAGUCUGGACAGGCAACCCUAGGCUCAUGGAAGGACCAAUAUCAGAGGCUGCGUGUGAGCCUGAGGAAUGCUAACUUACAAGCAAAAGCGAACAUUGGAAAGGCUGCUCAAGAAGAGAGGGAGCUUCUUCUGGGAGGUGGAGAAGAGUCCACUAUCCGGAGGCUGGAUCAGGUGAUUGCAAGCAAUCUGCAGUGCUUAAAGUUCAGGAUGACCAUUUGGGGUGUACCAGGGUGGCCGGCCGAUGCAUGGAUGUGUCGCCAGUGCCCAGUUGCCGCCACACGUACAUGCAAGCAAAGUAGCCCACUUUAUCCUAUACAGCGUGUGUGGUCGCUCAACGUGCCAGGCGAGCACCCUAGCCUUGAAGUCUCACAGCCUAGGCACUGUAGCCUCUUGCGCAGGAGUGGCCAAGAGUGGACGCUUGCUUUGCUUUCUCUUCCGUUCCCGGCUGGCCAUAUUGAUUUGCUUUGCAACAAUGGCCAGUGUACUGUGUGGCCUCAGGGAGAAAAACACGACCGGCCGCCGGCCAGUGUACUUUUUUCCAAAACAAAGGCCUUAAGCUACUGUUUUUCUCAUUCCUUCUGUCAGUAUCUCUACAUGGUAUAUUUGGAUGGAUGGCCUGAUAUGAGAUUUUUGUGUUAUAGCUAUGAAUAUUUGCAAACAAAUCAGGUUAGAACAUCACUUAAUAUAAUUGUUGCAACUGGCCUCCAUGUGAGAGUUGAUGUGGAGGUAUGA
This 939-nucleotide ribosomal RNA is filed under the name Triticum aestivum (bread wheat). RNAcentral describes it as "partial small subunit ribosomal RNA". The record is from RNAcentral. Lineage: Eukaryota; Viridiplantae; Streptophyta; Magnoliopsida; Poales; Poaceae.